RNAcentral lists this transfer RNA (72 nucleotides) under Ptyctolaemus gularis. RNAcentral's name for it is "tRNA-Asn". Lineage: Eukaryota; Metazoa; Chordata; Lepidosauria; Squamata; Agamidae. The record is from RNAcentral.
GGACUAAUGCCCUCUUGGUUGGGCUGACAGCUGUUAACUGUCAUCGUGUGGGAUCGAGGCCCGCUGGUCCAG